UAGGGAAUAUUAGAAAUGGCCGAAAGUCUGAUCUAGCAACACCGCGUGUGCGAAGAAGGCCUUCGGGUCGUAAAGCACUUUUUGGAAGGAAUAGGAAGGAAUGUACUUCCAGAAUAAGUCUCGGCUAACUACGUGCCAGCAGCCGCGGUAACACGUAGGAGGCAACCGUUAUCAGGAUUUACUGGGCGUAAAGCGCGUGUAGGUGGUACUGUAAGUAGGGCGUGAAAGCUCCUGGCUCAACUGGGAGAGGCCGUUCUAAACUACAGAACUAGAGGAUGGUAGAGGGAGGUGGAAUUCCAGGUGUAGCGGUGGAAUGCGCAGAUAUCUGGAGGAACACCGGUGGCGAAGGCGGCCUCCUGGACCAUUCCUGACACUCAGACGCGAAAGCUAGGGUAGCAAACG
RNAcentral lists this ribosomal RNA (402 nucleotides) under uncultured prokaryote. Its description in RNAcentral is "bacterial SSU rRNA". It matches the Rfam family "Bacterial small subunit ribosomal RNA", at positions 355 to 774 of the family's 1533-position model. The record is from RNAcentral.